Trichonephila clavata is the source of this 73-nucleotide non-coding RNA. The record is from the annotation of a GenBank genome assembly. Lineage: Eukaryota; Metazoa; Arthropoda; Arachnida; Araneae; Nephilidae.
GUCCCUGUAGUUCAAUAGAUAGUACGUUGGACUUCUAAUCCAAAGGUCGUGCGUUCGAAUCCCAUCUGGGAUG